AACGAACGCUGGCGGCAUGCCUAACACAUGCAAGUCGAACGAGACCUUCGGGUCUAUGGGCGCAUGGGGUCGUAACGCGUGGGAACCUGCACUUAGGUUCGGAAUAACUCCCCGAAAGGGGUGCUAAUACCGGAUAAUGUCUUCGGACCAAAGAUUUCUCGCCUUUGGAUGGGCACGCGUGGGAUUAGCUAGUUGGUAGGGUAAAAGCCUACCAGGGCGACGAUCUAUAGCUGGUCUGAGAGGAGGAUCAGCCACACUGGGACGGAGACACGGCCCAGACUCCUACGCGAGGCAGCAGUGCCUGAUAGUGGAACAUCGGCGAAAGCCUGAUCCACCACUGCCGCGUGAGUUCUGAUGGCCUUAGAGUUGUAAAGCUCUUUUACCCGGGCUGAUAAUGACAGUACCGAGACAAUAAGCCCCGGCUAACUCCGUG
RNAcentral lists this ribosomal RNA (433 nucleotides) under uncultured bacterium. Its description in RNAcentral is "partial 16S ribosomal RNA". It matches the Rfam family "Bacterial small subunit ribosomal RNA", at positions 29 to 507 of the family's 1533-position model. The record is from RNAcentral.